RNAcentral lists this ribosomal RNA (497 nucleotides) under uncultured bacterium. RNAcentral's name for it is "partial 16S ribosomal RNA". It matches the Rfam family "Bacterial small subunit ribosomal RNA", at positions 28 to 507 of the family's 1533-position model. The record is from RNAcentral.
GAUGAACGCUGGCGGCGUGCCUAAUACAUGCAAGUCGAGCGAACAGACGAGGAGCUUGCUCCUUUGACGUUAGCGGCGGACGGGUGAGUAACACGUGGGUAACCUACCUAUAAGACUGGGAUAACUUCGGGAAACCGGAGCUAAUACCGGAUAAUAUUUCGAACCGCAUGGUUCGAUAGUGAAUGAUGGCUCUGCUAUCACUAAGAGAUGGACCUGCGCCGUAUUAGCUAGUUGGUAAGGUAACGGCUUACCAAGGCAACGAUACGUAGCCGACCUGAGAGGGUGAUCGGCCACACUGGAACUGAGACACGGUCCAGACUCCUACGGGAGGCAGCAGUAGGGAAUCUUCCGCAAUGGGCGAAAGCCUGACGCAGCAACGCCGCGUGAGUGAUGAAGGUCUUCGGAUCGUAAAACUCUGUUAUUAGGGAAGAACAACCGUGUAAGUAACUGUGCACGUCUUGACGGUACCUAAUCAGAAAGCCACGGCUAACUACGUG